CCUUCAAAAACAAGCUAGGCUUAAGUCUCAAGCUAAGUUUAUUCAUCUUGAUAGAAUCUACAACAAUUGUCUAUAUAAACUCCCUUAUAAUGUGUCACUUAUAUUAGCACCAGGAAUUGCCAACGCAAACUUAGGUAGUUCCCAUUGUUACACUCCAUACUACACGAAGAGAAAGAUGUUAUCCAGCCUAGGAUACAGGCCCCGUCAAGGAAAGGGAUCAUUUACGAGAAGGUAGUCUUAUUACUAUGGACUACAGGACUGAUCGUGUUAGGAUUAUUGUUGAUUCCUGUGGAAUAGUGGUCUCGACUCCUGUCGUUGGAUAAACUUAAAACAUGCAUUGUGCACUCACUAUUUAUAUCAUUAAAAGUAAUAUAGUACUUAAAAUAUAGGUAUUGAUCGUGAUAAUAUCAAUAAUAAUGUUCGUUGUGAUCGUGUUGUUGUUUAUAUUGAUUCUAACAAGAUUGUUGUUUCUCCAUCAAAACGGAUUGCAUGAAUUUGCUCCUUGCCUUUGUCAAUAUGUUAUGAUAUUCUUUAUUAUCGUAAAUACCAUGUCUAAUGUUUUGUAUUUAUAAGUGUUCUAGGGUGGAGGUUGCAAGAGCCCAUACUCUUGCUAAUAGGGCUAGAGAUGGUGGAAUUUUGAUCUUGUAUUAUUUUGUUUGACUCCUUUGCCAAAAAACAAAGAAAAAAAAACAUUUGUUGUUUUGACUUCCUCUGUUGGCGAAGCUUCGUCCGUCUUAUUUCCUAGAAAGUAAAUAGCAAAGUAGUUGUUUGGUUGACAUGAGCAUAGGAAGUGGAACUUCCUAGGAAGUUACUUAUCUAGUCUUCCCUAGGUAAGUAGAACUUCCCAUGGGAAUUCUAACUUCCUAUGCUCAACUAAACAAGAACACUCAAUUCCUAGGAAGUUACAACACAUGGGAAUUGCAAAUACAAGGGAAAUAUAACUUCUCAAGUGCAACCAAACAUCACCUUAAGAUUUGAAAUUUUUGCUGACAUGACAUAUGCCCCAUCCCCAUCUAGUCUUAAGAUUGGGCAUUCAGUUUGUAACAUUGAAGUGGUUAGUCUUAACAAAAUCUUAGAUCGAGUCUUGAAAAACUAAAGACUCAACUUAAAACUCAGAUGCUGGCAGAGUUGAUGCACCAAAUGUUGGCAGUGUUGGUGCACCAAAUGCUGAUGUUGAUGGAGGAAAAACAGAUGGAGCAAAACCAGAUACUGGUGUUGUUGAUGCACCAAAUGCUGGUGUUGUUGAUGAACCAAAUGCUGGUGUUGUUGAUGCAGGAAAUGAUGGUGCUGUUGAUACACCAAAUGCUGGUGCUGUUGAUAAACCAAAUGGCGUUGUUGAUG
Molecule: long non-coding RNA, 1341 nt
Organism: Spinacia oleracea (spinach)
Lineage: Eukaryota; Viridiplantae; Streptophyta; Magnoliopsida; Caryophyllales; Amaranthaceae
Exons: 2
Source: RefSeq, a predicted model, not a curated record